CUUCCUCAGAAGUACACAAGUUCACUCCUGCUUAUGUUUUUAAUCAAAUUUUUGACCUUUAAUUUCAGGUGGUUGAUUUUUGUAAAUCUUCUAAUUUUUUUUGUGGUAAUAACAAAGCAUUUAAAACAAAUACUAGCCAGCAGACCAAACCUACUUUACGUCAUUAAUAUUACCUUCUGAUCUUCAGUGGGUCAGCAAGAUUUCAUUCUGACCUGGCACUGCCUAAAAAUCAUUACAGAAGAAAAAUACAAAGCAUAACUUGGAACAGACUGCUCGAGGAGGCCUUGAAGUCUCCAGCCCUGGGGCUGGUUAAGAAUACGUUUGAGAAAUGUUAUUCACAAAUGAAACGCGUGGGCCUACUGCCACACUAGACCCAGGGUGAAAGCUCUGGCUUGGAAAAAAAAACUGGGCCAGCCCCAGGCUCCCACUCGAAGCAGAACAGGCACACCCACCGUGCCUCUGAACACAGGUAACCAGGCCUGUUGAGGGGCUAAGGCGCAGGGUGCGGCUGCCCAGCAGGUAGCCACAGGGGGCUAUGAAGUGCCCCGGCCCAGUCACGACUGGCUCGAGGUGGCUCCCAACGUCCGGUAAUGGCUGCCCGCCUGCCGGAUGUCUGCUUGUGCCAGGAGAGUGCGGCUGGCAGGGCUGGAGGCCGCUGCUGCGGGACCCUGUGAGGAGGGUCUGAGGGUGGCAAGUGAUGAUGGCAGGGGGAGCUGAGCCAAAGAGAUGGGGCAGACUUAAGGAGAGCCUUGGGCAUGGAAGAAGCAGAUGGCUCCUGCUCAUUACACCCCCGGGGGUGUCUGUGGAGAGGUGUGAAACUGAGAAAACAUAGGGUGCCUGGAGCCAGUGCCUCAGUGAGGUGCUGGCUUCACAGAGCUGAGCUGGGGGCAGGCCGGGGCCUGUGGAGGACUGUGGGAGCGUGUGGUGGAGGGGUGCGCUACGCACUCCCCAGUCGUGCUGCUCCUGCAGAGGAGAUAUGCCUGAGGAGAGCCAAAGGCAGUGUGUGCAGCGGGAGCAACCAUGGUACUCAACAGAUGCCACAGCGAUGA
RNAcentral lists this long non-coding RNA (1049 nucleotides) under Anser brachyrhynchus (Pink-footed goose). RNAcentral's name for it is "lncRNA (ENSABRG00000023081.1)". Lineage: Eukaryota; Metazoa; Chordata; Aves; Anseriformes; Anatidae. The record is from RNAcentral.